UGGGGAAUAUUGCACAAUGGGGGAAACCCUGAUGCAGCGACGCCGCGUGAAGGAAGAAGUAUCUCGGUAUGUAAACUUCUAUCAGCAGGGAAGACAAUGACGGUACCUGACUAAGAAGCCCGGCUAACUACGUCGCC
Molecule: ribosomal RNA, 137 nt
Filed under: uncultured bacterium
Lineage: Bacteria
Description: partial 16S ribosomal RNA
Rfam family: Bacterial small subunit ribosomal RNA
Source: RNAcentral